ACUCCUACGGGAGGCAGCAGUAGGGAAUCUUCCACAAUGGGCGCGAGCCUGAUGGAGCAACACCGCGUGAGUGAAGAAGGGUUUCGGCUCGUAAAGCUCUGUUGUUAAAGAAGAACACGUAUGAGAGUAACUGUUCAUACGUUGACGGUAUUUAACCAGAAAGUCACGGCUAACUACGUGCCAGCAGCCGCGGUAAUACGUAGGUGGCAAGCGUUAUCCGGAUUUAUUGGGCGUAAAGAGAGUGCAGGCGGUUUUCUAAGUCUGAUGUGAAAGCCUUCGGCUUAACCGGAGAAGUGCAUCGGAAACUGGAUAACUUGAGUGCAGAAGAGGGUAGUGGAACUCCAUGUGUAGCGGUGGAAUGCGUAGAUAUAUGGAAGAACACCAGUGGCGAAGGCGGCUACCUGGUCUGCAACUGACGCUGAGACUCGAAAGCAUGGGUAGCGAACAGGAUUAGAUACCCUGGUAGGAUAGCG
Molecule: ribosomal RNA, 473 nt
Filed under: uncultured bacterium
Lineage: Bacteria
Description: bacterial SSU rRNA
Rfam family: Bacterial small subunit ribosomal RNA
Source: RNAcentral